Molecule: long non-coding RNA, 5904 nt
Organism: Oncorhynchus nerka (sockeye salmon)
Lineage: Eukaryota; Metazoa; Chordata; Actinopteri; Salmoniformes; Salmonidae
Exons: 2
Source: RefSeq, a predicted model, not a curated record
UACUCCCAAAUGUUUUCUUUUCAAAGCCUUUUACAUUAAUUCAACUUGUGUCACGCUAAUCUUUCUAGUUGCGACCCACAGAAACAACUUGGAUGACACGACCACAAAUGUAAAAUCCUCAACUUUUGGUGAUAAAGCUGCUCUGUCAACAGAGCUCGGUGCUUAAUUAUCUGAUGUACAGUUUUCGGUUAUUACAUACAACUUUUUUGAUGUAAUGUUAAUGAUAUGUUACAGAAAUACCCCACUAAGAUUCAGAAGAUUCAUAUUUGUCUUGGUAAAAUGUAUUUUAUGUCAUCACCAAAGCAUGUCAUCACCAAAGCACGUUUUCAUCUACUGUGGGCAGAGUGGGCUCACACCCUACUAGAGGGGAUAACUAAGGUAAGGGAAUUGUUUGAAAUGUCAUCAUGCUAUAUAUUGUACAUGUACAAUGGAACAUUUUGUUUAUCCCCCCCCCAGCUCUCACAGUGAGUUAGUGUAUGUGUGUCUGUCUGUCCGUCUGCUUGCCUGUCUGUCUGUCUUUCUGUUUGUUUAGGAGUUUCAAACAACACUUGAGGGCAUGUUCAUUGAGCAAUGAGCAGAUGUAGGAGCUCAUCCUCAUGAAGUUAAUCUACAGUAUAACAGGUGAUGCACUGUAGGUAUUUUUUUUAUUUUUUUAUUUCACCUUUAUUUAACCAGGUAAGCAAGUUGAGAACAAGUUCUCAUUUACAAUUGCGACCUGGCCAAGAUAAAGCAAAGCAGUUCGACACAUACAACGACACAGAGUUACACAUGGAGUAAAACAAACGUACAGUCAAUAAUACAGUAAAAAAAAACAAGUCUAUAUACAAUGUGAGCAAAUUAGGUGAGAAGGGAGGUAAAGGCAAAAAAGGCCAUGGUGGCAAAGUAAAUACAAUAUAGCAAGUAAAACACUGGAAUGGUAGUUUUGCAAUGGAAGAAUGUGCAAAGUAGAAAUAAAAAUAAUGGGGUGCAAAGGAGCAAAAUAAAUAAAUAAAUUAAAUACAGUUGGGAAAGAGGUAGUUGUUUGGGCUAAAUUAUAGGUGGGCUAUGUACAGGUGCAGUAAUCUGUAAGAUGCUCUGACAGUUGGUGCUUAAAGCUAGUGAGGGAGAUAAGUGUUUCCAAUUUAAGAGAUUUUUGUAGUUCGUUCCAGUCAUUGGCAGCAGAGAACUGGAAGGAGAGGCGGCCAAAGAAAGAAUUGGUUUUGGGGGUGACUAGAGAGAUAUACCUGCUGGAGUGUGUGCUACAGGUGGGAGAUGCUAUGGUGACCAGCGAGCUGAGAUAAGGGGGGACUUUACCUAGCAGGGUCUUGUAGAUGAUAUGGAGCCAGUGGGUUUGGCGACGAGUAUGAAGCGAGGGCCAGCCAACGAGAGCAUACAGGUCGCAAUGGUGGGUAGUAUAUGGGGCUUUGGUGACAAAACGGAUAGCACUGUGAUAGACUGCAUCCAAUUUGUUGAGUAGGGUAUUGGAGGCUAUUUUGUAAAUGACAUCGCCAAAGUCGAGGAUUGGUAGGAUGGUCAAUUUUACAAGGGUAUGUUUGGCAGCAUGAGUGAAGGAUGCUUUGUUGCGAAAUAGGAAGCCAAUUCUAGAUUUAACUUUGGAUUGGAGAUGUUUGAUAUGGGUCUGGAAGGAGAGUUUACAGUCUAACCAGACACCUAAGUAUUUGUAGUUGUCCACGUAUUCUAAGUCAGAGCCGUCCAGAGUAGUGAUGUUGGACAGGCGGGUAGGUGCAGGUAGCGAUCGGUUGAAGAGCAUGCAUUUAGUUUUACUUGUAUUUAAAAAAUAUAUCCCAUAUCCCAGUAUCCCAUAUUAGCAGUGGUGUAAAGUACUUAGGUAAAAUAAUUUCAAGUACUACUUAAGUAGUUUUUGUGGGUAUCUUUACUAUUUAUAUUUUUUUACUACUUUAACUUUACUACAUUCCUAAAGAAAAUUAUGUACUUUUUACUCCAUACAUUUUCCCUGACACCCAAAAGUACUUGUUACAUUUUGAAUGCUUAGCAGUACAGCAAAAUGGGCCAAUUAACAGAUUUAUCAAGAUAAUACGUGGUCAUCCCUACUGACUCUGAUCUAGCAGGCUCACUGAACACAAAUGCAUCUUUUGUAAAUGAUGUUGGAGUGUGCCCCUGGCCAUUUGUACAUUUUUUAAACAAAAAAUGGUGCUGUCUGUCUGCUUUGCUUAAUAUAAAACAUUUGAAAUGAUUUAUACUUUUAUUUUUGAUACUAAAGUACAUUUUAGCAAUUACAUUUACUUUUGAUACUUAAGUAUAUUUCAAAUCAAAUACUUUUAGACUUUUACUCAAGUGGUAUUUUACUGGAUGACUUUCACUUUUACUUGAGGAACUUUUUAUUAAGGUAUCUACACUUUUUCUCAAAUAUGACAAUUGGGUACUUGUUCCACCACUGCAUAUUAGGUACUACUGAUUGGAUGGAUAGAUAGGUGGAGGGAUUGCAAGCAUACAGGUAGAUACUGUACUGUCUCUAACUCUAUGUUUCCAAGUCAAUGCAAGUCAUUACUUGGCACUGAUUAUGCAACCCACAGUGUGUCACACACUGUGAACAGACCUUGUUUGAAGUACCCUUUCUCCUCAUAAGCAGUACUCAAAUGAGUUGGACUUAAAAGUCAUAUUGCUGAGUUGCGUCCCGAUUCUCUUCCCUCUGCCAAAGUGUAUACUUGUAUACUUUUUUUGCAUGGAUUUUCCAUGGAAAUGCCCUUCUUUCCAUGCUUACACCAACCCUAAUGAUGAGAAGUGCACACCUAGUGAGAAGGGUGGAGAAUUGAGACGUACUUUAGCCCUUGUGUGCUCUCUCAACCACCUCUACGCUCAGUACUAUACUAAAGGCUACAGCAAUAUUACAAGAUAAGGGCUGUCUACGGCAUUAAAUAAAAUUGAAUUCUACUCGUAUCAUAGUCCCAUCCUCCCCCACUGAGUUCUUCGGUGACAUUUUGUUUGUUGCAAGUCAAGCUUUUGUUGUCCCCCACGAUGAAAUCGGAGGGGGGAAUGUGGAUCUGUCUCCAGUCUGUUCAUAUGUUCGUCACACGCAAUAUCUCAGACAGCACUGUCCCGAUUUAAUGAUGCGUCUUGCCAUAGCUAUCCGGAAUUUACAAAAUUACACUAAUUGACCCAAGGCGGGAGCUGUAGUAAUUAACUGAAAUUUGUUAGUCACAUGCAAAAUCUCAUUUGGUGGAGGGGAGGCUGCAUUAUUCGUGGCUGAUUGCAUGUUUACUGUUGCCUUCUUUCCGUACCACUAAAUAUCGUCAAUUGUCAACAGGACAGUACCAGAGACUCUGAAAACUCUUUAAUAUUUGAUUAUUAACCAAUGAUAUUAGGCCACUCUUGGCCAUGAUUACAGACACCUGUGUCUUUUGACACUAUAUAAACGAGUCAUCCCGCAGUGUUUGUGAUUAUACCCUGCGUUUCAUUUUCUUCUAGAUUAAACAGUUAGGACAGUACCAGAGACUCUGAAAAGUGGCUGAUCUAUGAUAUGGACUGGCAUUAGUUUGAUUCAGUCUCAUUUUCCUAUUGCUAUAUUUGAAGGCUACAAAUGUUAUUUGUGCCUUUCCAACUAAUCUAUUUUCUGUUCAAACCAUCAGGAAACUCUGAGAAGGUAGUGGUUCCGCUGAACAAUGGCAUUGCUGUGUGUGGACAACCCCAAUAGCUCCUCCAGCAGAUGCUGCCCCCUCCUGUCUUCCAGAUGCUGCUGACCAAGCUGCCCACCAUCAAACAGGUGGUUCCUGGCUGAUGAUCUGUCUCCAUAACUGAGAGAAACCGGGGAGGAAUAUCACUUUGUCUCCAAUACUAUAGUCGUGGCCAAAAGUUUUGAGAAUGACACAAAAUGUUUGCUGCUUCAAUGUCUUUAGAUAUUUUUGUCAGAUGUUACUAUGGAAUACUGAAGUAUAAUUACAAGCAUUUCAUAAGUGUCAAAGGCUUUUAUUGACAAUUACAUGAAGUUGAUGCAAAGAGUCAAUAUUUGCAGUGUUGACCCUUCUUUUUCAAGACCUCUGCAAUCCGCCCUGGUAUGCUGUCAAUUCACUUCUGGGCCACAUCCUGACUGAUGGCAGCCCAUUCUUGCAUAAUCAAUGCUUGGAGUUUGUCAGAAUUUGUGGGUUUUUGUUUGUCCACCUGCCUCUUGAGGAUUCACCACAAGUUCUCAAUGGGAUUAAGGUCUGGGGAGUUUCCUGGCCGUGUACCCAAAAUAUCGAUGUUUUGUUCCCUGAGCCACUUUGUUAUCACUUUUGCCUUAUGGCAAGGUGCUCCAUCAUGCUUGAAAAGGCAUUGUUCAUCACCAAACUGUUCCUGGUGGUUGGGAGAAGUUGCUCUCGGAGGAUGGGUUGGUACCAUUCUUUAUUCAUGGCUGGGUUCUUAAGCAAAAUUGUGAGGGAAACCACUCCCUUGGCUUAGAAGCAACCCCACACAUGAAUGGUCUCAGGAUGCUUUACUGUUGGCAUGACACAGGACUGAUGGUAGUGCUCACCUUGUCUUCUCCGGACAAGCUUUUUUCCAGAUGCCCCAAACAAUCGGAAAGGUGAUUCAUCAGAGAAAAUUACUUUACCCCAGUCCUCAGCAGUCCAAUCCCUAUACCUUUUGCAGAAUAUCAGUCUGUCCCUGAUGUUUUCCUGGAGAGAAGUGCCUUCUUUGCUGCCCUUCUUGACACCAGGCCAUCCUCCAAAAGUCUUCGCCUCACUGUGCGUGCAGAUGAACUCACACCUGCCUGCUGCCAUUCCUGAGCAAGCUCUGUACUGGUGGUGCCCCGAUCCCGCAGCUGAAUCAACUAUAGGAGACGGUCCUGGCGUUUGCUGGACUUUCUUGGGCGCCCUGAAGCCUUCUUCACAACAAUUGAACCGCUCUCCUUGACGUUCUUGAUGUUCCAAUAAAUGGUUGAUUUAGGUGCAGUCUUACUGGCAGCAAUAUCCUUGCCUGUGAAGCCCUUUUUGUGCAAAGCAAUGAUGACGGCACGUGUUUCCUUGCAGGUGACCAAAGUUGACAGAUGAACAACAAUGAUUCCAAGCACCACCCUCCUUUUGAAGCUUCCAGUCUGUUAUUCGAACUCAAUCAGCAUGACAGAGUGAUCUCCAGCCUUGUCCUCGUCAACACUAACACCUGUGAUAACGAGAGAAUCACUGGCAUGAUGUCAGCUGGUCCUUUUGUGGCAGGGCUGAAAUGCAGUGUAAAUGUUUUUGGGGGAUUCAGUUAAUUUGCUUGGCAAAGAGAAACUUUGCAAUUCAUCUGAUCACUCUUCAUAACAUUCUGGAGUAUAUGUAAAUUGCCAUCAUACAAACUGAAGCAGCAGACUUUGUGAAAAUGUAUAUUUGUGUCAUUCUCAAAAAUGUUGGCUAUAACUGUACUACUAAUGUUUGUAACAGUACUGAUGAGGAAGAAGAGAAUGGAUUUAUAUAUAUACAUACAUACAUACACAUACCAAUAUAGACAUACAUACUUUUUUAAAGAAUAUACCUUUUAUUAUUAUUCCCCGCAAACCCUUCCGCCGAUCUAACAAUUGGAGUAAACUAAUAACCACUUCUGCUUCUACCUUCACUCCAUACAUCUUAUACACACCCUACAGACACAGUCUACUCUACAAUAGUUCUCUCUUGUUUGUUCUUAGUCCUUCCUCUAUUUCUGAUGUCCAUCCAGUUUGAUUUCUAUUUGUAACUAUGCUAUUUCACAAAAGCUCCGAACCUAUAUACAUUCUACAGAUCCCUUAUUCCCUACAUUGUUUAUCUUGUUAUUAGUCCCACCCUUCAGCUCCACUCAACCCCUCCCAUCUGUCUAUCAACAUCAUCCAUUUCGGAUUUCUACUUGCCAUAUAUUUUUCAACUGUGCUGUGAUGCUUCACAAAAGAACUGAACCUUCCUAUUCUCAUAGCUUCUACAGAUUGUAAAUUAAAAAUAAACAUUUUUGCUAAAAUAA